RNAcentral lists this ribosomal RNA (253 nucleotides) under uncultured bacterium. RNAcentral describes it as "partial 16S ribosomal RNA". It matches the Rfam family "Bacterial small subunit ribosomal RNA", at positions 524 to 776 of the family's 1533-position model. The record is from RNAcentral.
UACAGAGGGUGCGAGCGUUGUUCGGAAUUAUUGGGCGUAAAGGGCGCGUAGGCGGUGCCACAAGUCACUUGUGAAAUCUCCGGGCUUAACUCGGAGCCUGCAGGCGAAACUGUGGUGCUGGAGUGUGGGAGAGGUGCGUGGAAUUCCUGGUGUAGCGGUGAAAUGCGCAGAUAUCAGGAGGAACACCGAUUGCGAAGGCAGCUCGCUGGGACGUAACUGACGCUGAGACGCGAAAGCGUGGGGAGCAAACAGG